UACGGAGGGUGCAAGCGUUGUUCGGAAUUACUGGGCGUAAAGCGGGUGUAGGCGGUCGGGAAAGUCGAAUGUGAAAGCCCUUGGCUCAACCAAGGAAGUGCAUCCGAAACUGCUCGACUUGAGUAUGGGAGAGGAAAGUGGAAUUCUCGGUGUAGCGGUGACAUGCGUAGAUAUCGAGAGGAACACCGGUGGCGAAGGCGCUUUCUGGCCCAAUACUGACGCUGAGACCCGAAAGCGUGGGGAGCAAACAGGAUUAGAUACCCCUGUA
This 268-nucleotide ribosomal RNA is filed under the name uncultured prokaryote. RNAcentral's name for it is "partial 16S ribosomal RNA". It matches the Rfam family "Bacterial small subunit ribosomal RNA", at positions 524 to 792 of the family's 1533-position model. The record is from RNAcentral.